This is a long non-coding RNA of Ictalurus furcatus (blue catfish), 889 nucleotides long. RefSeq lists it as uncharacterized. The transcript is spliced from 2 exons. The record is from RefSeq and is a predicted model, not a curated record. Lineage: Eukaryota; Metazoa; Chordata; Actinopteri; Siluriformes; Ictaluridae.
AAAAUAAAAGGAAAAUUGCAUUAGGUUGAAAUGCCUUUUAGAAGAUAUACGCUCCUGAAGAAUACACGAAUGUUCACUCGAUCCCUCAUAAAUGCAGGAAAGUGUCAAAUUCAUACAUACACGUGUUGAUUUGCGGGUAUUAUCUCCAUCCCAGACGACUUGUUCAGAGUGUUUGGUCACAUAUCUACUUUACUUACUCAUCUCUUCAUUCAGACAGGAGAGCAACUGAAAAGAUUUGUCAUAUCUCUCAUUUUGUACCAUUUUAAACAUUUAUUAAAUAAAAUAUCUACAAGUUUGUGUAGUUAAAGUAUUCUUUUUUUCUCAACAGCGUACAGACGCUGACGUGGUUAUGUUUAUUGUGGUUAUAAAUAACGGCGUUGCUAGUUUAGAGAUACUGGUCUUGACACGAUAAAAUUAAACAAAUGUCAUACGUUUAAUAUCUUGAUUUUGUUUUCCCGGUAAGGUCACAUGAUCGGAAACCUAUCAAAUGUGCUGUGUGCUGGUUUUGUGUAGCCUGGGUGUGGACACUUGGAUCUGCAUGCUUGGGCUUUAUCACCCAUGGACAAUGCGACACUUCAGACUGUAAGCUGAAGAUUAGAAAAUGGUUUCUGUUUCUGUUUCUGUUCAUAAAAGGCAUUCAUUCACUCAUACAAGCUACAUUUGAUACUUUCUGCCAUUAUCUUUGACUGUUCCAUGCACUUUUAUUUUCUAUACUGAGUAGAGGUUUGUUCCCAGGUUUGGAUUAGAUCUGCUAAUAUUUGAAAAGCCCUGAACUUGGAUCCAGUUGCAUCUGGUUUCCAAUCAUUGAGACAUAAAGCCACACUUUGAGAUUGCACUGAUCUGAAAUGUUGUCAGUGAUAUUAAAUGGAUCACACUGCCAUCCAAAGAA